This 323-nucleotide ribosomal RNA is filed under the name uncultured bacterium. RNAcentral's name for it is "bacterial SSU rRNA". It matches the Rfam family "Bacterial small subunit ribosomal RNA", at positions 28 to 334 of the family's 1533-position model. The record is from RNAcentral.
GAUGAACGCUGGCGGCGUGCUUAACACAUGCAAGUCGAACGAGAAUCAACGGAUUGAGGAUUCGUCCAAAUGAAGUUGAGGAAAGUGGCGGACGGGUGAGUAACGCGUGAGGAACCUGCCUCGGAGUGGGGAAUAACAGUUGGAAACAGCUGCUAAUACCGCAUAAUGCAACGGAAUCGCAUGACUCUGUUGCCAAAGAUUUAUCGCUCUGAGAUGGCCUCGCGUCUGAUUAGCUAGUUGGUAGGGUAAUGGCCUACCAAGGCGACGAUCAGUAGCCGGACUGAGAGGUUGACCGGCCACAUUGGGACUGAGACGCGGCCCAG